Molecule: ribosomal RNA, 492 nt
Filed under: uncultured bacterium
Lineage: Bacteria
Description: partial 16S ribosomal RNA
Rfam family: Bacterial small subunit ribosomal RNA
Source: RNAcentral
GGUGAACGCUGGCGGUAGGCCUAACACAUGCAAGUCGAACGGCAGCACAGUAAGAGCUUGCUCUUACGGGUGGCGAGUGGCGGACGGGUGAGGAAUACAUCGGAAUCUACUUUUUCGUGGGGGAUAACGUAGGGAAACUUACGCUAAUACCGCAUACGACCUACGGGUGAAAGCAGGGGAUCUUCGGACCUUGCGCGAUUGAAUGAGCCGAUGUCGGAUUAGCUAGUUGGCGGGGUAAAGGCCCACCAAGGCGACGAUCCGUAGCUGGUCUGAGAGGAUGAUCAGCCACACUGGAACUGAGACACGGUCCAGACUCCUACGGGAGGCAGCAGUGGGGAAUAUUGGACAAUGGGCGCAAGCCUGAUCCAGCCAUACCGCGUGGGUGAAGAAGGCCUUCGGGUUGUAAAGCCCUUUUGUUGGGAAGGAAAAGCAGCAGGUUAAUACCCCGCUGUUCUGACGGUACCCAAAGAAUAAGCACCGGCUAACUUCGUG